RNAcentral lists this long non-coding RNA (855 nucleotides) under Monodelphis domestica (gray short-tailed opossum). RNAcentral describes it as "lncRNA (ENSMODG00000032590.2)". Lineage: Eukaryota; Metazoa; Chordata; Mammalia; Didelphimorphia; Didelphidae. The record is from RNAcentral.
AGCUGGGCUCCAGAGUGCCGCUCCUUAUCAGCAAGGUCCCUCUGCGCUGGGGACGCUGCUACCCACAUUCCCCUCCCACACACGCUCGCCCUCACCCCAGGCCCCCACACUGUUCCCCCAGCAGCCACUGGGCAUAGGCAAGGAGAGCUGGGAGCAGCCAUUCUGCUUCGCGGGCCAGUGGAGAGAGAGAGGGCUCUUCUGGCCAGCCCCAUGAGGGAGACCCAAGCCACAGGCCUCAGACCACUCAGCCACGCACCCAAACUGCUGCCUACAAGUAUGGCUCGGAUCGGGAUCCUGCCUAGGCCCCUCCCUCUGACAAGAAACAUGUGGGCUGCUUUCCCUGCUUCAGACGGAGAUCAGGUAAGAGAAAAGCUACAGAAGUCCUGGAAAAUGGAGAGUCCUGUCCCAAGGCAAGGGAGUGGCACCAUGUCUCCUCUCAAGCCCUCCCUCCCCAGCCUCCAGCCCCCCAGGAAGGUCCUCAGUAGGUGGGAGAUCUCUCAGCUGGAGCAUGUGGAAUUACUCAGACACCCUGCCCUGUUGUCCCGGCGAUACAAGGCUGGGCUCCCACCAUCGGUCUUUGCUGUUGCUGCCACCCAGCUCUCUUCCUUAGUCACGCUCCUGGGUUGCAGACACAGCCCAGGGCUCCCCCAGAGCGAGGCUUUGUCCUUUUUUGGCCCAGACGCUGUCUAUUGUGUGGGAGAGCCUCCCUUGUGGGGCUGGGACCCAUUAAGUUAUGGGGUUUGCCAUGCAAACAAUAAGGGGCAAGCCCAAGAUAGAAUGACAACGUCAGAUGUGACUGGUACCUCAAAUCAUCCUGUCUCUCCCCAUCACGGGGCCCCCCACAGCCUCUGUUAG